GGUGUGAAAGGGUGGAGAGCCUCCGGAAAGAUCAUUUCCCCUGAGGGAUUGGUCCAACCAAGGGACCUUGGUGUGGAAAGGGUGGGAGAGCCUCCUGAAAAUCAUUUCCCCUGAGGGAUUGGUCCAACCAAGGGAGCUUGGUGUUGAAAGGGUGGGAGAGCCUCCAGGAAAGAUCAUUUCCUCUGAGGGACUGGUCCAACCAAAGGACCUUGGUGUUGAAAGGAUGGGAGAGCCUGUAGGAAAGAUCAUUUCCCCUGAGGGAUUGGUCCAACCAAGGGAGCUUGGUGUUGAAAGGGUGGGAGAGCCUAUGGGAAAGAUCAUUUCCCCCGAGGGAUUGGUCCAACCAAGGGACCUUGGUGUUGAAAGGGUGGGAGAGCCUCCUGGAAAGAUCAUUUCCCCUGAGGGAUUGGUCCAACCAAGGGAGCUUGGUGUUGAAAGGGUGGGAGAGCCUCCUGGAAAGAUCAUUUCCCCUGAGGGAUUGGUCCAACCAAGGGAGCUUGGUGUUGAAAGGGUGGGAGAGCCUCCAGGAAAGAUCAUUUCCCCUGAGGGAUUGGUCCAACCAAGGGAGCUUGGUGUUGAAAGGGUGGGAGAGCCUCCUGGAAAGAUCAUUUCCCCUGAGGGAUUGGUCCAACCAAGGGAGCUUGGUGUUGAAAGGGUGGGAGAGCCUCCUGAAAAGAUCAUUUCCCCUGAGGGAUUGGUCCAACCAAGGGAGCUUGGUGUUGAAAGGGUGGGAGAGCCUCCUGGAAAGAUCAUUUCCCCUGAGGGAUUGGUCCAACCAAGGGAGCUUGGUGUUGAAAGGGUGGGAGAGCCUCCUGGAAAGAUCAUUUCCCCUGAGGGAUUGGUCCAGCCAAGGGACCUUGGUGUGGAAAGGGUGGGAGAGCCUGCAGGGACGGUCAUUUCCCCUGAGGGAUUGAUCCAGUUAAGGGGCCUUGGUGUGGAAAGGGUAAGAGAGCCUGCAGAGAAGAUCAUUUCCCCUGCGGGACUGGUCCAGCCAAAGGACCUUGAUGUUCAAAAGGUAGAUCUGAAGCCUGCCAUGAUACCGAGGAAAGAUGAUAUGAAACAGGUCGAGUUGAAAAUUGAAGGGAAAUCAUUUCGUCCCCAAAAGCCUUACCUGGAAUCUACUUCAGAACUUAGACGUAAGCAAGCUGUGAUCUCCCCCAUGCCCAGUGAUUCUCAAGAGGAGAAGUUAUUGUCUUUGGCCAAAUCCAAGUACAAGCCCAGACCUCCACCCCUCCCCACCGCCCAGAGGUUUCCACUCACGCCAAAGGAGCCAGUUGCCCCAACCCCAACCCCAACUCCAUCUGAAGGGCGUCCAGAGAGUCCCACCUGGGAAGUCAUGGGACCGGACACUGUGGCUUCCCCAAAAAAGUCAGCCCAAGAACGCUGGAGGUGGUUUCUGCGGAUUCAUCAGAGUAUCAGGGCCUUCAAGGGGGCCAUGGCCCGACGGGAUAGAAGCUUGCCUCCUACAUACAGUGAAUUCAUGCACAAGCUCCCUAGAGGAGGCUGGGACCGAUUACAGAAUGCCCUGCGGAAGCUUCGCCAAAAAGGGACAAUCACCAAAAAAACCAUGGACAGCCUUUGCUGGCUGCUGGAGCAGACAUCCCCACUGAAGCAGAUGGAGUGGGUGGAAACGGCCCAUCUGGAGACCCUUGCCUCGCAAUUGGAGUCCCUAAAGGCUCCCCAAGUAGUCUCUACGUCUGUUGCCUAUGGCAUGCCCACAGUGGAAGUAAUCCCCCCACAGACAGACUACCCUAGAGAGGAACUCCGCCCCAGAGAGAGCUUCCAGGAACUCCGCCCCAGAGGGAGCCUCCUGCUACCCGAGUUUCCUGCCCUCGCCAGGCCAUCCAUUCAGCCUGGAGCCCCCGAUCUGGUAGCCCCAGGGAAAGUCAAGGAGAUUGGGCCUGAGUUCCAGGAACUCCGCCCCAGAGAGAGCUUCCAGGAACUCCGCCCCAGAGGGAGCCUCCUGUUGCCUGAGUUUCCAGCCCUCGCCAGGCCAUCCAUUCAGCCUGGAGCCCCCGAUCUGGUAGCCCCAGAGAAAGUCAAGGAGAUUGGGCCUGAAUUCCAGGAACUCCACCCCAGAGGGAGCCUCCAGGAACUCCCCCCUAGAGGGAGCCUCCUGCUGCCCGAGUUUCCGGCCCUCGCCAGGCCAUCCAUUCAGCCUGGCGCCCCCGACCUGGUGGCCCUGGGGAAAGUCAAGGAGAUUCGGCCUGAGUUCCAGGAAUCUUUACGGAAGGACCUGGCUCGGAUUUUCCCUGAUUACUCAGCCAGUGCCCUGAAGGUCCUGAAACUCCAGCAAAAGGUGCAGUUAUGGAAGGACAAGAUAAAGGAGCUUCAGCUGUCCAGGCUGAAGGACAAGAAAUCACUAUUACCCCCUGCAGCCCUGCCAGGACCCCCAGGAGAAGCCCCGCCCACCACAGCCUGGCCUGGACUCCCAGGAGAACCCCUUCCCACCGCAGCCUGGCCUGGACUCCCAGGAGAACCCCUUCCCACCGCAGCCUGGCCUGGACUCCCAGGAGAACCCCCAUACAUAGCGGCCAGGCCUGGACUCCCAGGAGAACCCCCAUAUAUAGUGGCCAGACCUGGACUCCCAGGAGAAAUCCUUCCCACCGCAGCCUGGCCUGGACUCCCAGGAGAACCCCCAUACAUAGCGGCCAGACCUGGACUCCCAGGCGAACCCUUUCCCACCGCAGGCUGGCCUGGACUCCCAGGAGAACCCCCAUAUAUAGCGGCCAGGCCUGGACUCCCGGACGAACCCUUUCCCACCGCAGCCAGGCCUGGACUCCCAGGAGAACCCCUUCCCUCCAUAGCCAGACCUGGACUCCCAGGCGAACCCUUUCCCACCGCAGCCUGGCCUGGACUCCCAGGAGAACCCCCAUACAUAGCGGCCAGGCCUGGACUCCCAGGCGAACCCCUUCCCACCGCAGCCAGGCCUGGACUCCCAGGAGAACCCCCAUACAUAGCGGCCAGGCCUGGACUCCCAGGUGAACCCCUUCCCUCCGCAGCCAGACCUGGACCCCCAGGAACACCACUGCCCACUGCAGCAUGGCCUGGACUCCCAGGAGCACCUAUGCCAGCUGCAGCAUGGCCUGGAACCCCAGGAAGACCUCCGCCAACUGCAGCCCAUCCUGGACUCCCAGGAGCACAACUGCCCACUGCAGCCAGACCUGGCCUCCCAGGAGAACCCCAUAAAGAGCCAGACCUGGACUCCCGGCGAACCCUUCCCUCCCAAAGGGACCGGACCCCCCCAGGAACCCACCCCCACCCUGCAGCAUGGCCUGGACUCCCAGGAGAACCCCCAUACAUAGCGGCCAGGUCUGGACUCCCAGGAGAACCCUUUCCCACUGCAGCCUGGCCUGGACUCCCAGGAGCACCACCGCCCACUGCAGCCUGGCCUGGACUCCCAGGAGCACCACUGCCCACUGCAGCAUGGCCUGGACCCCCAGGAGGACCCCCAUACAUAGCAGCCAGGCCUGGACCCCCAGGAAGACCUCUAACCGGAGGCGGACCCCAGGGACCUCUAAACCA
Long non-coding RNA from Sarcophilus harrisii (Tasmanian devil), 3525 nucleotides. NCBI's taxonomy places the organism in Eukaryota, Metazoa, Chordata, Mammalia, Dasyuromorphia, Dasyuridae. The record is from Ensembl.